CAAGUGACCCCCGGAUUACCUCCGGGAUGUUCAUAACCCUUUGUUGUCCGACUCUGUUGCCUCCGGGGCGACCCUGCCUUCUGGCGGGGGCCCCGGGUGGACAAAUUCAAACUCUUGCGUAACUUUGCAGUCUGAGUAAAUUUAAUUAAUAAAUUA
Molecule: unclassified non-coding RNA, 156 nt
Filed under: uncultured Cladosporium
Lineage: Eukaryota; Fungi; Ascomycota; Dothideomycetes; Cladosporiales; Cladosporiaceae
Description: sequence contains ITS1
Source: RNAcentral